AACCCAGUGUGAUUCGUCACACUAUCAUUAACUGAAUCCAUAGGUUAAUGAGGCGAACCGGGGGAACUGAAACAUCUAAGUACCCCGAGGAAAAGAAAUCAACCGAGAUUCCCCCAGUAGCGGCGAGCGAACGGGGAGGAGCCCAGAGCCUGAAUCAGCAUGUGUGUUAGUGGAAGCGUCUGGAAAGGCGCGCGAUACAGGGUGAGAGCCCCGUACACAAAAGCGCACGUGCUGUGAGCUCGAUGAGUAGGGCGGGACACGUGGUAUCCUGUCUGAAUAUGGGGGGACCAUCCUCCAAGGCUAAAUACUCCUGACUGACCGAUAGUGAACCAGUACCGUGAGGGAAAGGCGAAAAGAACCCCGGCGAGGGGAGUGAAACAGAACCUGAAACCGU
RNAcentral lists this ribosomal RNA (394 nucleotides) under Salmonella enterica. Its description in RNAcentral is "partial 23S ribosomal RNA". It matches the Rfam family "Bacterial large subunit ribosomal RNA", at positions 125 to 559 of the family's 2925-position model. RNAcentral also lists the same sequence under 1 other name. Lineage: Bacteria; Pseudomonadati; Pseudomonadota; Gammaproteobacteria; Enterobacterales; Enterobacteriaceae. The record is from RNAcentral.